ACGACCAUUUUCGUUUGCGGCAUGAUGCGUCUUCUAAUUGUGCGAGGCAAAUGCGCGAGCAUGCAUCGAUUUGCAUCUAUCAACUGCGUCAUCGCGCAACGUGAUCCAAGCGUUAGAAUUUCGUGUGUAGGUGCUCGGACCUUGUCUGGAGUUUACCACCACGGCGCGUUUGCAACGUUCCAUUUGCAAUACCAAAAAAGAAAUACUUGGUAGCAGAUUACGAAGAUGAGAAUAAGAAAAGAUUUUCAAUUAUUCCUAAACCUUGAGACUUUUCUCAACUCUUUCAAUGAAAUAUUAUUAAAAUUCCACGAAGUAAAUGUUCAAUAUUUCAUUCAUUUUUCUAUUUUAAUAUUUCUAGCUUCAACUGGAAAAUAAUUGACUAUCUAUACAAUCCAAAGCACGUGUUUUCUGUAAUACCGAAAAUUUAUAGGCCAUACUUUGUAACGUUCGUCGAGCACGAGAAUGGAGGAAAAAGAUACUGCUUUGACGGAAACCUGUGCCACCAAUGCAUAUAUAACACCUACGAAACCCGAUUUAUCCUGGCCGUAGUACGCAGAUACGCUCGUGUCGCAACACCUCUGCGCUGAAAAGCAAAUCUUGCGCGGAUCGAUUGAACUAGUUCGCGAAACUGGAAAGGGACAAAACAGGCCGUGACCCAUUGACUCAUUAGCACGUCCUAAGACAGAUACUACUGCCAGCAGCUGUUGGCGAUCGCGACGAUCACGUACCUGGGCCAUGGGAAUCGGAUCGAAGUCGCAUACAUGCGCGUCAGAAUGGACCGUGGACACCUGGUCGAUCGCGAUGCAGUUCCACGAAAUCAUUGCGUUGCAUAAUCCGAUCGCAUUGGCAACGCGGAUGGCGAUUCUACAACCAGAAUGACUAAUGCCUCGUGGAACUGCCUCUGCGAAUGACAAGGUAUGUUCCAGCUGAUGAGUAUUCGAUUCGAUCAACUUUGCAUAAGAUGCAGUUCAAAUUACUAGGGAUAAAGAUCGUGGAGCUAAUCGAGGAAGAGGUGAAGAGUGGACAGUCAGAAAAUUUGAGUUUUCAGGCACUGAAAUUCUAUUGUAAGUAUUCUAGUUUAUUUUAGUUUCAGUUUAUUUUUUUUAUCGAGAAAUUAUUUCGUGGGCUUAUUUAUUAAAGAAAUCUUAAAUACUAAUCAACAAAAUAAUUUCCAUCAUUUUCUAAUAUUUUUUGCCAGAGUAAAGACAAUAAUUGUUCGAUUCUCUGUUUAAAAAACUCCUUCGAUUUUUCAUUCAAAAACUUUUCCAAGUCGAAAACACUUUGAUUACUUUCCAAGCUCAAGAGCAAGGUGUUGAUUUCGUAGCCCAUCUUGGAUGGUCUGAAGAAAGAUCUUUAGAAAGUUUGAGUUUUUUCAGUAAGUAAUAGCAAUAUCGAACCCCUAUCCCUUUAGCAGACGUCGAUUUCGAAUUUGGAGAGUUGAUGUAAAGCGAAUUAUAUCUGAUGUAUUCGACACGAAAGGAAGGCCUCUUUGUUGAUCAAACGGUGACGCAACCGGACGUUUCGACGGGAACAGAUUCAACAGUCGAAUAAUUAUUACAACGAUUGCACAAAGUUUCAUUGCUUGACAACACGUCGACGUCAGUUAUGGUUAGUUCCAAAUAGGGAAGAAGGGAGGUAUCGUUGAGUGCAAUAUUUACAACGAUUCGCGAAAAUUGUCGACAAGCCAGUUUCAUCGAUGCAUAGCAAGUUUAACCAUAAACGGGUCACGAAUUUAUACUAGUCUCCACGGAAAUAAGGAAAGGCAUUUGUGAAUUCAAUUUGUAAAUCCAACAAUGAGCGAAGCUGGAACGUCACGGUUAUUUUUCACUUUGCAAAUGUGGGACGCAAACGUGGAUCUAUCAGUGAUAUAAUAUUAAGGUGACUUGGAAGAUGUUGCGUAUAUUGGCCGAUUCACUUCCUGAUUAGUUUUUAAGUCAAUCGAAAUUAUGUAUCCUCAAUUUAUCUGCAGUUUCAUGUUAUGCAGCUUUUAUGAAAUUAUUGAAAAUGGAUCUACGUGAAUGUUUGGUGUCUUUUUACAUUCAGCAUGUCACUGCUUGCGGAGAUUAUCGUGCUUGAAAGCAUAUUUUACCACUUAAUAAAUGAAGAUUGUGACAAAUGAGAUAUUCUCUGAGACAUUGGAAUAGCAAUCCAAUGUACUUGACGCGUAAAAUCAAUAAUAAACGAGUAUAAUUAAGGUGUGCAGGUUUCCUUGGAUUGCACAUGUAUCUACCUAUGAUUAAGUUUCACGAAACGACGUAUCAACGUUGUUCACACGUUAAUCAUUAUAUGAUUCUACCGCUAUCAGUAUCCACAAAAACAGCAACGUAAACGGCGUUGAAUACAACGAAUGAUGUGUUAUUUAAGAUGGUUGUAUCGAGU
Molecule: long non-coding RNA, 2379 nt
Organism: Hylaeus volcanicus
Lineage: Eukaryota; Metazoa; Arthropoda; Insecta; Hymenoptera; Colletidae
Exons: 3
Source: RefSeq, a predicted model, not a curated record